RNAcentral lists this non-coding RNA (111 nucleotides) under Kineococcus radiotolerans. Its description in RNAcentral is "SAM-IV sequence". It matches the Rfam family "SAM (S-adenosyl methionine) riboswitch aptamer". From Rfam's summary of the family: SAM-IV is a mRNA element that regulates gene expression via direct sensing of S-adenosylmethionine (SAM or AdoMet). The record is from RNAcentral. RNAcentral also lists the same sequence under 1 other name. Lineage: Bacteria; Bacillati; Actinomycetota; Actinomycetes; Kineosporiales; Kineosporiaceae.
GGUCAUGAGCGCCAGCGACAAGCCCCGGCUCGCUGGCCGGCAACCCUCCUCGUCGUGGGGUGCCCCGGGUGAGGACCUGACCUGGUGCCCCGGCACGGGUAAGGACGAGCC